GCCUGGUGGCUCAGUCGGUUGAGCAUCCGACUUCGGCUCAGGUCAUGAUCUCACAGUUUGUGGGUUCAAGCCCCGCAUCAGGCU
RNAcentral lists this transfer RNA (84 nucleotides) under Felis catus (domestic cat). It matches the Rfam family "tRNA". Rfam says of the family: Transfer RNA (tRNA) molecules are approximately 80 nucleotides in length. Their secondary structure includes four short double-helical elements and three loops (D, anti-codon, and T loops). Lineage: Eukaryota; Metazoa; Chordata; Mammalia; Carnivora; Felidae. The record is from Rfam by way of RNAcentral.